This 293-nucleotide long non-coding RNA is filed under the name Marmota monax (woodchuck). The record is from RNAcentral. Lineage: Eukaryota; Metazoa; Chordata; Mammalia; Rodentia; Sciuridae.
GACAUGGUGGACUCCUGGCAGAGCCCUGGCCUUUCCUGGACAAAUCCAUGCAGGGAGAGCACGGCAGAGAGAGCACACCAACCUGCAGGGGCCGGAGAGAUUAUUCAGCCUGGGAAGAGCGAAGAGAGCUCCGUGCUACUCGUCAGUGGUGGGGACCGUGCAGGACUGUUGGAGGACAGUCAGGUGGAGAUGGGGCGCUGCCUGCUUCCCGGGAUCCCCAGUUGGUGUUUUCUGAAGUAACAGCCAAUGAAGGUCCACGCCGACCCACUUGGUGCUUAUUUAAUUGUGAGUGA